RNAcentral lists this ribosomal RNA (1083 nucleotides) under Halomonas sp. RNAcentral's name for it is "bacterial SSU rRNA". It matches the Rfam family "Bacterial small subunit ribosomal RNA", at positions 62 to 1142 of the family's 1533-position model. Lineage: Bacteria; Pseudomonadati; Pseudomonadota; Gammaproteobacteria; Oceanospirillales; Halomonadaceae. The record is from RNAcentral.
UCGAGCGGUAGCACAGAGAAGCUUGCUUCUUGGGUGACGAGCGGCGGACGGGUGAGUAAUGCAUAGGAAUCUGCCCGAUAGUGGGGGAUAACCUGGGGAAACCCAGGCUAAUACCGCAUACGUCCUACGGGAGAAAGGGGGCUCCGGCUCCCGCUAUUGGAUGAGCCUAUGUCGGAUUAGCUAGUUGGUGAGGUAAAGGCUCACCAAGGCGACGAUCCGUAGCUGGUCUGAGAGGAUGAUCAGCCACAUCGGGACUGAGACACGGCCCGAACUCCUACGGGAGGCAGCAGUGGGGAAUAUUGGACAAUGGGCGCAAGCCUGAUCCAGCCAUGCCGCGUGUGUGAAGAAGGCCUUCGGGUUGUAAAGCACUUUCAGCGAGGAAGAACGCCUAGCGGUUAAUACCCGCUAGGAAAGACAUCACUCGCAGAAGAAGCACCGGCUAACUCCGUGCCAGCAGCCGCGGUAAUACGGAGGGUGCAAGCGUUAAUCGGAAUUACUGGGCGUAAAGCGCGCGUAGGUGGCUUGAUAAGCCGGUUGUGAAAGCCCCGGGCUCAACCUGGGAACGGCAUCCGGAACUGUCAAGCUAGAGUGCAGGAGAGGAAGGUAGAAUUCCCGGUGUAGCGGUGAAAUGCGUAGAGAUCGGGAGGAAUACCAGUGGCGAAGGCGGCCUUCUGGACUGACACUGACACUGAGGUGCGAAAGCGUGGGUAGCAAACAGGAUUAGAUACCCUGGUAGUCCACGCCGUAAACGAUGUCGACCAGCCNUUGGGUGCCUAGCGCACUUUGUGGCGAAGUUAACGCGAUAAGUCGACCGCCUGGGGAGUACGGCCGCAAGGUUAAAACUCAAAUGAAUUGACGGGGGCCCGCACAAGCGGUGGAGCAUGUGGUUUAAUUCGAUGCAACGCGAAGAACCUUACCUACUCUUGACAUCCUGCGAACUUGUGAGAGAUCACUUGGUGCCUUCGGGAACGCANAGACAGUGCUGCAUGGCUGUCGUCANCUCGUGUUGUGAAAUGUUGGGUUAAGUCCCGUAACGAGCGCACCCUUGUCCUUAUUUGCCAGCACGUAAUGGUGGGAACUCUA